UACGUAGGGUGCGAGCGUUGUCCGGAAUUAUUGGGCGUAAAGAGCCUGUAGGUGGCUCGUUGCGUCGGGAGUGAAAACCUGCGGCUUAACCGCAGGCCUGCUUCCGAUACGGGCGAGCUAGAGUUCGGGCAGGGGAGACUGGAAUUCCUGGUGUAGCGGUGGAAUGCGCAGAUAUCAGGAGGAACGCCGGUGGCGAAGGCGGGUCUCUGGGCCGAUACUGACACUGAGAAGCGAAAGCGUGGGGAGCGAACAGG
RNAcentral lists this ribosomal RNA (254 nucleotides) under uncultured bacterium. Its description in RNAcentral is "partial 16S ribosomal RNA". It matches the Rfam family "Bacterial small subunit ribosomal RNA", at positions 524 to 776 of the family's 1533-position model. The record is from RNAcentral.